RNAcentral lists this transfer RNA (75 nucleotides) under Terribacillus saccharophilus. RNAcentral describes it as "tRNA-Gly (GCC) (tRNA-Gly-GCC-1-1)". It matches the Rfam family "tRNA". Rfam says of the family: Transfer RNA (tRNA) molecules are approximately 80 nucleotides in length. Their secondary structure includes four short double-helical elements and three loops (D, anti-codon, and T loops). Further hydrogen bonds mediate the characteristic L-shaped molecular structure. tRNAs have two regions of fundamental functional importance: the anti-codon, which is responsible for specific mRNA codon recognition, and the 3' end, to which the tRNAs corresponding amino acid is attached (by aminoacyl-tRNA synthetases). tRNAs cope with the degeneracy of the genetic code in two manners: having more than one tRNA (with a specific anti-codon) for a particular amino acid; and 'wobble' base-pairing, i.e. permitting non-standard base-pairing at the 3rd anti-codon position. Lineage: Bacteria; Bacillati; Bacillota; Bacilli; Caryophanales; Bacillaceae. The record is from RNAcentral.
GCGGAAGUAGUUCAGUGGUAGAACACCACCUUGCCAAGGUGGGGGUCGCGAGUUCAAAUCUCGUCUUCCGCUCCA